UUUUACAGCCAUAUCACCCUGCAGACCAAGACUGGUUGCCCACUGAAGCUAAGCAGGGUUGAGCCUGGUCACAUACUGGUGGUGGUUGAGG
RNAcentral lists this ribosomal RNA (91 nucleotides) under Sinocyclocheilus rhinocerous. The record is from RNAcentral. Lineage: Eukaryota; Metazoa; Chordata; Actinopteri; Cypriniformes; Cyprinidae.